Long non-coding RNA from Prionailurus viverrinus (fishing cat), 800 nucleotides. RefSeq lists it as uncharacterized. The transcript has 4 exons. The record is from RefSeq and is a predicted model, not a curated record. NCBI's taxonomy places the organism in Eukaryota, Metazoa, Chordata, Mammalia, Carnivora, Felidae.
ACUACAUUGGACUAAAAGGACUUCAAGGGGGCUCAUAGAUCCCAAGAGCCUACAUGACCAGGACUGAGCAGACAUCUGGCUUCUCUGUGGAGUUUUUCUUAUCACUGAGGGGGGUGGGGGGUUAGACUUAGGGUUUGUCUUCAUGAGCUGUUACAGAGAUGACUCCUCUUGGGUGUGAUGCCUCCCUCUGCCAAGGUGGGCAUCACCCACCCGCUUGCGUGGGAUCACCCAGCUGGAGGUGCUGAGAAGCAGCCCCUGGAUGCUCAAGGAAGAUGUGUUUGAUGCCGUCGUGAGAAGAUGCAGGUGUUUCCUGUUCCCUAUCCUCCUGCGAGACUGCUUCUGGUGAUCAUGCCGAGUGGGUGUGACCCUGAAACCCAGGAAGAAAGGCUGCCCGCUGAUACCCUGAAUUUAGCCCAGGGAGACCCAUUUUGGCCUUCUGUCCUCCAGCACUGUAAGGCAUGUGAACUGCCUCAGGAGUGACGGUCAUAGAAACCUGGAAGAACCCUGCCCUAGAAAAGUCACGCUGUGUCCCAGGUCAAGGUCUUGGGGCAGGUGGGAUUAGAGACCCAGGUCGACACGGCUGGGUUACCAACGUCCCCUUUUUGCAGAUGCAAAAACUAGGGCCCAGAGAGGUCGGAGAGCUGCCCGUGGUCACACAGCUCUGACGCGGCAGGGCCAGGACUCUACUGCAGGUUUUGCUGACGUCAGGAGGCCCAUUUUCAGACCAGGAAGCCAAGGCUCAGAGCAGUUCCGACCCACAGAGGCUGGUGUCCGAACCCACCUGCUUGUCCAGGGCUCUG